AGAACAUGUCCCGGCUUCCUAUAAAGACUCUGCAGCCUGGUGGAGACCUCACACCGUCCACCCAGACCAGCCUGCGCCCCUCCCCCUCCCCACAGUGCAGCUGCAGGUCUUGAGCCACUCCAGAUCUUCCCUCAGACACACAUCCAAUCAGGAGAAAUGAUCAUCAGACUGGGCCGACUGACACCUGGAUACUUCCGUCUCCUCCAGAGGCAAGUUGCCGGCGAGGUGCAGAUGCAGCCGCAGGACCGUGCUGUGAACCAGAUCGCCAUGAUGCUGGCCAUCAUGGGCCUGAGUUUGUCCUACUACAGUGCCAAACAGAUGAUGGAAAAGGUCCAGGCCCAGCCAGCGCCCUGAGGAGACUUGACUACACUUGGAUCGAUUGUUGAAAUAGUAAAUGGACGAGCCAAUGAGGAGUGAAGGAGAUGGAGCGAGGAAGCAGGAAGGCACAGCAGUGUCCUUCAGGACCGCACUUUUCUCACCUCACAGUCAUAGUCACACUCAGACAUUGAAUUUCCAGUAUCCCUCACUUACCAACACUUUUUAGCGUUUUCUAUAUAUUCCAUUGUCGGGGCCUGGAGGGAUUUGUGGCUCACUUUGGGGGGGGGUCGUGGUUAGGAUUGGUUUUCUGGCCUGGUUUGGGUGGGGGAUCAAAAUAACCCAGCUGCCUGCCAACAGAGUCCGACCCGUCACAAAGGUACAUGCUUGCACGCUGCUGUCAAUACUGUUCUAAGCAACAAAUCAGAAGGGUGAGCUCUUGCACAAGAGUGAAUUGUGCCAGUGCUCAAAGCUCGGCCAAAUACAGUUGAAUAACAUGAACAGUAAUGCUCUUUAAGGGAAAGCACACUGCAAUUGAGAUGCACCUUUGUAUUGACGUGUUGGCAGGUUGAGGACAAUGGUUAAAGGGGAUAAAACUUUAGCUCAACCCGUUUAGAUUUUCAUUUUUUUUUUUCUUUGCCUUCACAAGAGAACCUUGCAGCGCCUGUGAACAGAGAAGGAGUAGUACUCUCAUACUGUGAAUAUAUACAUACACAUAUAUACUUGUGAAAUAUAUCUGUAAGAUUGAGAGAACAUUUGCACAAAACUUCCGACAUGUUUAAAAUACUUCAACAGAUCCGCAAAGGGACUUAAAAUAUCCACUACCUUAUUUUUUGGUGUGUUUUUUUUUCUUCUGCGAUUUCACGCUGCUUAACAUUAAUCGAGUUAAGUCCUAGAAAUAAUAAGUGUGUGACUACCUUGAUAAGCACCCUGGUUCCUGCUGUAUCAAAUACAUGCGAACAUUUAUCUUUACUGAACAUUGCAUGGGUGUGCUGACUUUUAAUCAAAACAAAAUUCAUGAGUCUCUGUUUUUAUUGAUGAAUGAAUGUAUAACCUUAUUUUGUAAUGAUUUAAUAAAGCUGUGAAUUUUUUGAAUUGAGCUGUACGGUGGAUGUUUAGUCGCGUUGACUGAGCUAUUUGAGAACUAAAGUAAUCCAAAACUUAGACUGUUGUUAUUUGCACAGAAAAUGAAUUAAGUCUGAGCUUUCCUGAAGUAGCCACUCGAAGCUGCAGCGUCAGUCAAUAAUCUGCACGCAACAGGAAGUCCUCAGGCUUUCACACAUGUUGUGUUCUUCCUUUGCGUGCCAAUGAAUGUGACGCUCACGCACUAAAAGCGUUUGAGCAUAAAUG
Molecule: long non-coding RNA, 1665 nt
Organism: Paralichthys olivaceus (Japanese flounder)
Lineage: Eukaryota; Metazoa; Chordata; Actinopteri; Pleuronectiformes; Paralichthyidae
Source: RefSeq, a predicted model, not a curated record